GUCUACGGCCAUACCACCCUGAACGUACCCAAUCUCAGCUGAUCUUGGAAGCCAAGCAGGGUGGGGCCUGGUUACUACGUGGUUGGGGGACAGACACAUCCUGAUGCAGGUGAGGAAGAAU
Molecule: ribosomal RNA, 121 nt
Filed under: Prolemur simus (greater bamboo lemur)
Lineage: Eukaryota; Metazoa; Chordata; Mammalia; Primates; Lemuridae
Source: RNAcentral